GACGAACGCUGGCGGCAUGCCUAACACAUGCAAGUCUAGGGGUAGCAAUACCACUGGCGCACGGGUGAGUAACACGUAGGUUAUCUGCCCCCAUCACAGACAUAACCCCGGGAAACCGGGGCUAAUAUCUGAUGAGGUCGCGAGAUCAAAGCUUCGGCGGAUGGGGAGUGAGCCUGCGGCUGAUUAGCUAGUUGGUGAGGUAAUGGCUCACCAAGGCGACGAUCAGUAGCUGGUCUGAGAGGACGAACAGCCACACUGGAACUGAGACACGGUCCAGACUCCUACGGGAGGCAGCAGUGAGGAAUAUUGGUCAAUGGGAGCAAUCCUGAACCAGCAAUGCCGCGUGUGGGAUGACAGGGCUUCGCCUUGUAAACCACUGUCGGACGGGACGAAAGGAGGCCUCGGGCCGUCUGGGACGGUACCGUCAAAGGAAGGGUCGGCUAACUACGUGCCAGCAGCCGCGGUAAU
This 468-nucleotide ribosomal RNA is filed under the name uncultured bacterium. Its description in RNAcentral is "bacterial SSU rRNA". It matches the Rfam family "Bacterial small subunit ribosomal RNA", at positions 28 to 524 of the family's 1533-position model. The record is from RNAcentral.